AGUGAACGCUGGCGGCGUGCUUAACACAUGCAAGUCGAACGAGAACGGGAUAUAGCUUGCUAUAUUUGUCAGCUAAGUGGCGCACGGGUGAGUAAUGUAUAGGUAAUAUGCCUCUUACUAAGGGAUAACAAAUGGAAACGUUUGCUAAUACCUUAUACUCCUUAUUAACAGAAGUUAAUAAGGGAAAGAUUUAUUGGUAAGAGAUUAGCCUGUAUUGUAUCAGUUAGUUGGUGGGGUAAUGGCUUACCAAGACUAUGACACAUAACUGGUUUGAGAGGAUGAUCAGUCACACUGGAACUGAGACACGGUCCAGACUCCUACGGGAGGCAGCAGUGGGGAAUAUUGCACAAUGGACGAAAGUCUGAUGCAGCAACGCCGCGUGGAGGAUGACACAUUUCGGUGCGUAAACUCCUUUUAUAUGAGAAGAUAAUGACGGUAUUAUAUGAAUAAGCACCGGCUAACUCCGUGCCAGCCGCCGCAGUAA
This 484-nucleotide ribosomal RNA is filed under the name uncultured bacterium. RNAcentral's name for it is "partial 16S ribosomal RNA". It matches the Rfam family "Bacterial small subunit ribosomal RNA", at positions 29 to 523 of the family's 1533-position model. The record is from RNAcentral.